GGAGGAACAGAAUCGCAUUUUGGAGAUAAAAUGAACUUGAUGUGUGGGAUGGUGGAGAUCAUUUGAAUGUUUUCAAUGUGAAUAACUAAAAUGCUGCUGAUAUAAUUUACUCUGAUUUAGCAAAUACAUUAGAAAAGAAGAAGAUUUGAGAAAAUACUUGGCAGUUCUGUUUUGAAUACAUUACUAUAUUGCAGGUCACAUAUAUAGAUACUCUAUAAGUAAUUUUCAAAAGC
This 233-nucleotide long non-coding RNA is filed under the name Bos taurus (domestic cattle). RNAcentral's name for it is "long non-coding RNA NONBTAT012555". Lineage: Eukaryota; Metazoa; Chordata; Mammalia; Artiodactyla; Bovidae. The record is from RNAcentral.